AGACCCAGAGACAGAUCUGGUAUCUUCCUAAGUUUUCCUAAAAACGGAUUUAAUAUUCGUAGUGUUAUCUUUGUGUGUGUUUGCUUUGAUUUGGGGCUUUUUUUUUUUUGUCAAAUAAAUUUUCUUAAUCCCUACUAUUCACAUCUGUUUUAUCAUUAAAACAUAAAAUUCCAACACACAAAUGACCCAUGUUUUUGAUGAAAAAACUACCUUUGACGGUAGCUCUUCGAAAUACUUAAGACUUCAUUUUGAUACACUGGUGUUUUGAAGAGUUACUGUCAAGGCCGUUAUUUCAUCAUUUUUAAAUUAUAUUCCAAGCAUUAUUUAUUUACAAUACAAUUCAUGAUUUAAUUAAUUAAUGUACAUUGGCAGGAAUUGGGGCUUGCAACCUUGCAAGCUAUGACAGAGUUGAAGUGUCCGGUAAAAACAUAACUAGACUGAAGAAAUUAACAGUUAAGCUAUGUUAUAGUUGCUGCUGGAAAGAAGGAGAAACUUGUGACAAUCAGCCGUGGGACAAAGAUGAAUCAACAAGAUACGUCUACUACAUGAGGUGAUGCAACAAUGGUGACGGUAACGGGGUUGAAUUCUCUCAAAGCUCAUGAGAUUUUCUAGUGUAAGUAUCUGGCGGCAAUGAAGAAUGGCGAUUAAAAUCAGUGUUGCCAAAAAGAAUGAAAGCUUAUUUCCUUGGUAUGAAUUUGUCUAAGUCUUGGAUUAAAUGAUCAUUUUGAUGUAAUUGAGUUGACUAGAUCAAUAUAAUGGAUACAUGUGAUGUAAAGUAGGUCUUGCUGAUUUUCUCAAACAUAUUCAUCGCAAGCUUUCUUAUUCAUUAUCACUUUAUCAGCA
Molecule: long non-coding RNA, 843 nt
Organism: Erigeron canadensis
Lineage: Eukaryota; Viridiplantae; Streptophyta; Magnoliopsida; Asterales; Asteraceae
Exons: 2
Source: RefSeq, a predicted model, not a curated record